Molecule: ribosomal RNA, 395 nt
Filed under: uncultured bacterium
Lineage: Bacteria
Description: bacterial SSU rRNA
Rfam family: Bacterial small subunit ribosomal RNA
Source: RNAcentral
GACGAACGCUGGCGGCGUGCUUAACACAUGCAAGUCGAGCGGAAAGGCCCUUUCGGGGGUACUCGAGCGGCGAACGGGUGAGUAACACGUGAGUAAUCUGCCCUUGGCUUUGGGAUAACCACCGGAAACGGUGGCUAAUACCGGAUAUGACGGGCUCCGGCAUCGGGGUUCGUGGAAAGUUUUUCGGCCAGGGAUGUGCUCGCGGCCUAUCAGCUUGUUGGUGGGGUAAUGGCCUACCAAGGCUUCGACGGGUAGUCGGCCUGAGAGGGUGACCGGCCACACUGGGACUGAGACACGGCCCAGACUCCUACGGGAGGCAGCAGUGGGGAAUAUUGGACAAUGGGCGGAAGCCUGAUCCAGCAACGCCGCGUGAGGGAUGACGGCCUCGGUUGUAA